GAAAAUUCAUUGGAUUUCAAGGAAUUAAGCAAGUAAAGGUGGUGAAACUUUCGAUAAGGGUAAAGAUAUUGUACCCGAAGACCGGGACUAGGAGUACUUCGACUCCCAAUAUUGAUCAGGACAGUCUGUAAAUAGCUGAUUACGUCGAGGGUUAUUAUUGGACUUGCCUCCUCAGAAAUUGUAGGUCCACAGCCUUUGUUACCUUUGGUCAUUCGGGGGCUCACACGUCAUUGUAAAUUAAAUUACAUACUCUAGCUAUCUGUUUUACUGUAUGUAUGGAUUUAUUUUGCUUUUACGUUAG
This 301-nucleotide small RNA is filed under the name Theobroma cacao (cacao). Its description in RNAcentral is "sRNA Tc09v2_g014680". The record is from RNAcentral. Lineage: Eukaryota; Viridiplantae; Streptophyta; Magnoliopsida; Malvales; Malvaceae.